This 878-nucleotide ribosomal RNA is filed under the name uncultured soil bacterium. RNAcentral describes it as "bacterial SSU rRNA". It matches the Rfam family "Bacterial small subunit ribosomal RNA", at positions 61 to 941 of the family's 1533-position model. The record is from RNAcentral.
CUCGAUUGAACUUAAAUAGCAAUACGGAUGGCGCACGGCGCACGGGUGCGUAACACGUGGGCAAUCUGCCCUUCGAUGGGGAAUAACUCCGGGAAACCGAAGCUAAUUCCGCAUAACAUUCCUUGGACUCCGGUUCGAGGAUUCAAAGCCGUAAGGCGUCGAAGGAGGAGCCCGCGCCCGAUUAGCUAGUUGGUAGGGUAACGGCCUACCAAGGCUUUGAUCGGUAGCUGGUCUGAGAGGAUGGCCAGCCACACUGGAACUGAGACACGGUCCAGACUCCUACGGGAGGCAGCAGUGGGGAAUCUUGCGCAAUGGGCGAAAGCCUGACGCAGCGACGCCGCGUGGGGGAUGAAGCAUCUCGGUGUGUAAACCCCUUUCGACUGGGACGAAUGCCUCGCAAGAGGAGUGACGGUACCAGUAGAAGAAGCCCCGGCUAACUACGUGCCAGCAGCCGCGGUAAGACGUAGGGGGCCAGCGUUGUUCGGAAUUACUGGGUGUAAAGGGUCAGUAGGCGGUGUGGCAAGUCGGGAGUGAAAUCUAUGGGCUCAACCCAUAGGCUGCUUCCGAAACUGCCAUGCUUGAGUGUGGGAGAGGCGCGUGGAAUUGCAGGUGUAGCGGUGAAAUGCGUAGAUAUCUGCAGGAACACCCGUGGCGAAAGCGGCGCGCUGGACCACAACUGACGCUGAAUGACGAAAGCUAGGGGAGCAAACAGGAUUAGAUACCCUGGUAGUCCUAGCCCUAAACGAUCAGGACUUGGGGUGCCGCACGUUCGUGCGUCGUCCCGGAGCUAACGCGUUAAGUCCUGCACCUGGGGAGUACGGUCGCAAGACUGAAACUCAAAGGAAUUGACGGGGGGCCCGCACAAGCGGUGGAACAUG